RNAcentral lists this ribosomal RNA (249 nucleotides) under uncultured organism. RNAcentral's name for it is "partial 16S ribosomal RNA". It matches the Rfam family "Bacterial small subunit ribosomal RNA", at positions 355 to 621 of the family's 1533-position model. The record is from RNAcentral.
UGGGGAAUAUUGGACAAUGGGCGCAAGCCUGAUCCAGCCACGCCACGUGAGUGAUGACGGCCUUAGGGUUGUAAAGCUCUUUCGGCGGGGACGAUAAUGAAGGUACCCGCACAAGAAGCCCCGGCCAACCUAGUGCCAGCAGCCCCGGCACGACAACAGGUGCUAGGGGUGUGUGGGACGACAUGGCGGAAAGGGCGCGUAGGCGACGUGGUUUGUCGGGGGUGAGAGCCAAUGGCUCAACCAAAGAAC